Molecule: long non-coding RNA, 114 nt
Organism: Sinocyclocheilus rhinocerous
Lineage: Eukaryota; Metazoa; Chordata; Actinopteri; Cypriniformes; Cyprinidae
Exons: 3
Source: RefSeq, a predicted model, not a curated record
UCCACCUCUACUGAAUGUAUCCCUCCCCAUUAAAAUGUAUAUAAACUACAAUGUAUCACUGCCUUAGUCAGACUUUUGAUGACUGCAGCUCCACGCAGCAGAGUUCUUUAUAUG